Molecule: ribosomal RNA, 500 nt
Filed under: uncultured bacterium
Lineage: Bacteria
Description: partial 16S ribosomal RNA
Rfam family: Bacterial small subunit ribosomal RNA
Source: RNAcentral
AUUGAACGCUGGCGGCAGGCCUAACACAUGCAAGUCGAGCGGAUGAGUGGAGCUUGCUCCAUGAUUCAGCGGUGGACGGGUGAGUAAUGCCUAGGAACCUGCCUGGUAGUGGGGGACAACGUUUCGAAAGGAACGCUAAUACCGCAUACGUCCUACGGGAGAAAGCAGGGGACCUUCGGGCCUUGCGUGCUCAGAUGAGCCUAGGUCGGAUUAGCGAGUAGGUGAGGUAAUGGCUCACCUAGGCGACGAUCCGUAACUGGUCUGAGAGGAUGAUCAGUCACACUGGAACUGAGACACGGUCCAGACUCCUACGGGAGGCAGCAGUGGGGAAUAUUGGACAAUGGGCGAAAGCCUGAUCCAGCCAUGCCGCGUGUGUGAAGAAGGUCUUCGGAUUGUAAAGCACUUUAAGUUGGGAGGAAGGGCAGUAAGUUAAUACCUUACUGUUUUGACGUUACCAACAGAAUAAGCACCGGCUAACUUCGUGCCAGCAGCCGCCGUAA